AUAAGUAUGAUAAAUCAAUUGGUUCAUUUUAGUGUUCACAUAGAAGUGUUGAAAUAUCAAAAUGCCUACAAAACUGAAUUUGUGAAAUGAAGCGAUAUCAGGAGAAUUAGUUGAAAAUUACAAAAUCUUACGUUAUAUAAAAAAAUCCUGAAUUGAGUUCUGUUUUUCUUUUAAUCUUCACACACCGUCCUGCUCAUCAGAAAAAUUUGGUGCCGCAACUCGGGAAAAUUUUUAAAGGAUUCGCGAUAGUUUACUCACCAGGCUGCCACGUUUCAUUGCUGAUUAGAAACGCCACUUUUAACAGGUGCCGAAGCUGAACAAGAAGUGUGAGAAAGUGAAGUGGCUCUAUGGCAAACUGCACUCACACGCUACCACUUUCCACAAUGUCUACACGCCAAGGGCACCAGUCGCCAUCAUAUCUGCACUCGUGGUGAAUCCUCUGUUCCGUCGGCGUGGCAUCGCGACUGCUCUUUUGACAGCCUUCACCCACCACAACCGAACUACACGCAGAGUGAGCCUGAUGAAUGAGACCAUCUACUGCAGG
Symsagittifera roscoffensis is the source of this 544-nucleotide long non-coding RNA. RefSeq lists it as uncharacterized. NCBI's taxonomy places the organism in Eukaryota, Metazoa, Xenacoelomorpha, Acoela, Convolutidae. The record is from RefSeq and is a predicted model, not a curated record. The transcript has 3 exons.